This 620-nucleotide non-coding RNA is filed under the name Trichomonas vaginalis G3. Its description in RNAcentral is "Eukaryotic small subunit ribosomal RNA". It matches the Rfam family "Eukaryotic small subunit ribosomal RNA", at positions 1 to 779 of the family's 1831-position model. Lineage: Eukaryota; Parabasalia; Trichomonadida; Trichomonadidae. The record is from Rfam by way of RNAcentral.
UACUUGGUUGAUCCUACCAAGGAAGCACACUUAGGUCAUAGAUUAAGCCAUGCAAGUGUUAGUUCAGGUAACGAAACUGCGAAUAGCUCAUUAAUACGCUCAGAAUCUAUUUGGCGGCGACCAACAGGUCUUAAAUGGAUAGCAGCAGCAACUCUGGUGCUAAUACAUGCGAUUGUUUCUCCAGAUGUGAAUUAUGGAGGAAAAGUUGACCUCAUCAGAGGCACGCCAUUCGACUGAGUGACCUAUCAGCUUGUACUUAGGGUCUUUACCUAGGUAGGCUAUCACGGGUAACGGGCGGUUACCGUCGGACUGCCGGAGAAGGCGCCUGAGAGAUAGCGACUAUAUCCACGGGUAGCAGCAGGCGCGAAACUUUCCCACUCGAGACUUUCGGAGGAGGUAAUGACCAGUUCCAUUGGUGCCUUUUGGUACUGUGGAUAGGGGUACGGUUUUCCACCGUACCGAAACCUAGCAGAGGGCCAGUCUGGUGCCAGCAGCUGCGGUAAUUCCAGCUCUGCGAGUUUGCUCCCAUAUUGUUGCAGUUAAAACGCCCGUAGUCUGAAUUGGCCAGCAAUGGUCGUACGUAUUUUUACGUUCACUGUGAACAAAUCAGGACGCUUAGA